GGGUUCAUCAAAUGGCUAAUAGGCGAAAGGUAGAUACCCAUGACGAUAGAUUCAAAAAUCGGGUCAAUCCACUCUCGUGACAGAGACCCCCAUAACUCUACCACUUCCUAAUCUCAACUCUCGUUGAUGAAACAUAGCAGAGCAGGGUUUAAGAAACAAUCUAUCAAAGCCAAUAGGCAGACAAGCCAAUCCCUAGGUCGAGUCUACAUAUCUCUGGAAUUCGUAGAUCAGACAUCCAUUUGAACGUCUUUUGGACGCUGGACGUCUAUGAUCGAAUCUCCACAUUAGCCAGCAAAAACUGAAUAGGGGCCAAGCGAAUCCAGAAGGGUAUAAACCUAAACACUAACCACCUAUCUAACCUACAGAUUACCCUAAUCUAAUCCAUCCUCAAGAACCCUAAUCACUACUCAAGCAACAUUCUCAAGAACACAAACCCAGAAAUUACUAAAAUCAUACCAAAAUGUAGAUCUAAACAAGGUAAACAACUCUACUUAAACAAUCAAAUGCAAAAACGAAAUGGAUUAAA
Molecule: small RNA, 526 nt
Filed under: Arabidopsis thaliana (thale cress)
Lineage: Eukaryota; Viridiplantae; Streptophyta; Magnoliopsida; Brassicales; Brassicaceae
Description: ATSL034620
Source: RNAcentral